Molecule: small RNA, 30 nt
Filed under: Bombyx mori (domestic silkworm)
Lineage: Eukaryota; Metazoa; Arthropoda; Insecta; Lepidoptera; Bombycidae
Description: ovarian small RNA-10057
Source: RNAcentral
AAAGAGACCCGAGGGGAAAAUUGCCCCCUC